This 436-nucleotide long non-coding RNA is filed under the name Hordeum vulgare. RNAcentral's name for it is "long non-coding RNA (HVUL_LNC018670)". The record is from RNAcentral. Lineage: Eukaryota; Viridiplantae; Streptophyta; Magnoliopsida; Poales; Poaceae.
UGCACUCAAAAACUUAUCAUCAUCAACAGGUCCCAUCUCCCUUAUCAUAUAAAACCACAUGGUUACUGAUGGCGCAAGCCCUGUGGAAAGGUUGUACAUCUUAUUGAACAACCUAACUUUGUCGGGUUCCAUUUCGUACAAAACCUUUUUCCGCCCCUUGGCAAUCCCCAUAUCCUUUCGACAUUGGUUGCGUCGACUAUGAUCUCCCUGAUCUCCCCCCUCCUAGGAAUGACAAGUUGAGACAACUCUGGGUCAUAACAAUUCAUGACACACUUCACGAGAUCUACUUUCAUUGUUCUUGUUCCAAAUUGUUGCACACCGCCAAAACUUAACGCACCAAUGACAUCAUUUUGUAUCGGGGCGAGAGAACUGUUUAGCAUGAAUGGUCUUGAAGGUGACGCCCUGUUCCUUGGUGCCAGCACAAUACAACCAACCU